Molecule: ribosomal RNA, 287 nt
Filed under: uncultured bacterium
Lineage: Bacteria
Description: partial 16S ribosomal RNA
Rfam family: Bacterial small subunit ribosomal RNA
Source: RNAcentral
GUGGAUUAGAUACCCUGGUAGUCCACACCGUAAACGUUGGGCGCUAGGUGUGGGACUCAUUCCACGAGUUCCGUGCCGCAGCUAACGCAUUAAGCGCCCCGCCUGGGGAGUACGGCCGCAAGGCUAAAACUCAAAGGAAUUGACGGGGGCCCGCACAAGCGGCGGAGCAUGCGGAUUAAUUCGAUGCAACGCGAAGAACCUUACCUGGGUUUGACAUAUGGAGAAAUCUCCCAGAGAUGGGAGGUCCGUAAGGGCUCCAUACAGGUGUUGCAUGGCUGUCGCCAGCU